Long non-coding RNA from Syzygium oleosum, 1186 nucleotides. RefSeq lists it as uncharacterized. NCBI's taxonomy places the organism in Eukaryota, Viridiplantae, Streptophyta, Magnoliopsida, Myrtales, Myrtaceae. The record is from RefSeq and is a predicted model, not a curated record. The transcript has 4 exons.
GAACCAAAUUUGUGUUGCUUUGAAUUCUGUUUCGGGAUUUUUAAAGCUCAAUUAUGAGUUCUCUUUAUUUGAUGAAUUCACUCACUUUAAUUUCUAGUUGCAGGACAAAUCUUUGGAUUCUCCCAUGAAAGCCGUAGUGAAGAUCUAGACUUACCUCUGUUCGACCUCACAACCAUAGUGAGCGCAACGAAUAACUUCUCUGACGACAACAAACUUGGAGAGGGAGGCUUUGGAGCUGUCUAUAAGGUUACUAUUCUCAUUUUUCGGAAUUCUAAAUCUGCUCAUACAUAUACAAAUGCACAAUGGAAAAAAGGAACAAAAAAUUUCUAUCUUUUAGGGUGUUCUGAAGAGUGGCCAAGAAAUUGCUGUGAAGAGGCUGUCGGAAAACUCAGGGCAGGAAUAGGCCGAGUUCAAGAAUGAAGUCGUCUACAUCGUCAAACUUCAACACCGAAACCUCGUCAAGAUUCUUGGAUGCUGCAUUCAAGUAGAUGAAAAGAUGUUGAUCUAUGAAUUCUUGCCGAACCGGAGCUUGGAUUGUUUCAUUUUCGACCAAGAGAAGGGUGUUUCACUGGAUUGGCCUAAGCGCUUCACUAUCAUCAACGGCAUAGCUUCGGGGCUCCUAUACCUUCACCGAGACUCAAGAUUAAGAAUAAUUCAUUGAGACCUGAAAGCUGAAAACAUCCUGCUUGACAACGAAAUGAAUCCAAAGAUAUCGGACUUUGGUUUGGCGAGGAGUUUCGGAGGUAAUGAGAGCGAAGCGAAUACGAAGAGAGUGGUGGGAACAUACGGUUACUUGUCACCAGAGUAUGCGGUCACGGAUUAUAUUCGAUAAAAUCAGAUGUAUUCAGUUUUGGCGUUUUAGUGCUGGAAAUCGUGAGCGGGAAAAGAAAUCGAGGCUUCACUCAUCCUGACGGCCAUUUGAGCCUUCUUGGAUAUGCCCGGACACUGUUCAGAGAUCGAAAGUCCAUGGAGUUGGUUGAUCCAUCGAUCACAUCCACAUUCAAUCCCAUGGAAGUUUUGCGAUCGAUCCAUGUGUCGUUGCUGCGCGUUCAACAAAAUUCGAGAGAAAGACCGGAGAUGUCAUCUGUGGUUAUGAUGUUGGGCAGUGAGAGCACAUUGCCUCAUCCUAAACAGCCCAGUGUUUUUCAGCGAGGAGUCCGUAUCUGAAGCAAGUUCUUCAAGCGGU